Molecule: non-coding RNA, 152 nt
Filed under: Lepisosteus oculatus (spotted gar)
Lineage: Eukaryota; Metazoa; Chordata; Actinopteri; Semionotiformes; Lepisosteidae
Description: Eukaryotic large subunit ribosomal RNA
Rfam family: Eukaryotic large subunit ribosomal RNA
Source: Rfam by way of RNAcentral
AACUGCCAGAUGACUGCGUUCAAAGCGACGUUACUUUUUGAUUCUUCGAUGUCGGCUCUUCCUAUCAUUGCGAAGCAGAAUUCACCAAGCGUUGGAUUGUUCACCCACUAAUAGGGAAUGUGAGCUGGUAUUAGACCGUUGUGAGACAGGUU